GAGUUUGAUCCUGGCUCCUUAUGAACGCUAGCUACAGGCUUAACACAUGCAAGUCGAGGGGCAGCAUGGUCUUAGCUUGCUAAGACUGAUGGCGACCGGCGCACGGGUGAGUAACACGUAUCCAACCUGCCGUCUACUCUUGGACAGCCUUCUGAAAGGAAGAUUAAUACAAGAUGGCAUCAUGAGUCCGCAUGUUCACAUGAUUAAAGGUAUUCCGGUAGACGAUGGGGAUGCGUUCCAUUAGAUAGUAGGCGGGGUAACGGCCCACCUAGUCUUCGAUGGAUAGGGGUUCUGAGAGGAAGGUCCCCCACAUUGGAACUGAGACACGGUCCAAACUCCUACGGGAGGCAGCAGUGAGGAAUAUUGGUCAAUGGGCGAGAGCCUGAACCAGCCAAGUAGCGUGAAGGAUGACUGCCCUAUGGGUUGUAAACUUCUUUUAUAAAGGAAUAAAGUCGGGUAUGCAUACCCGUUUGCAUGUACUUUAUGAAUAAGGAUCGGCUAACUCCGUGCCAGCAGCCGCGGUAAUACGGAGGAUCCGAGCGUUAUCCGGAUUUAUUGGGUUUAAGGGAGCGUAGAUGGAUGUUUAAGUCAGUUGUGAAAGUUUGCGGCUCAACCGUAAAAUUGCAGUUGAUACUGGAUAUCUUGAGUGCAGUUGAGGCAGGCGGAAUUCGUGGUGUAGCGGUGAAAUGCUUAGAUAUCACGAAGAACUCCGAUUGCGAAGGCAGCCUGCUAAGCUGCAACUGACGUUGAGGCUCGAAAGUGUGGGUAUCAAACAGGAUUAGAUACCCUGGUAGUCCACACGGUAAACGAUGAAUACUCGCUGUUUGCGAUAUACGGCAAGCGGCCAAGCGAAAGCGUUAAGUAUUCCACCUGGGGAGUACGCCGGCAACGGUGAAACUCAAAGGAAUUGACGGGGGCCCGCACAAGCUGAGGAACAUGUGGUUUAAUUCGAUGAUACGCGAGGAACCUUACCCGGGCUUAAAUUGCAGAUGAAUUACGGUGAAAGCCGUAAGCCGCAAGGCAUCUGUGAAGGUGCUGCAUGGUUGUCGUCAGCUCGUGCCGUGAGGUGUCGGCUUAAGUGCCAUAACGAGCGCAACCCUUGUUGUCAGUUACUAACAGGUUCUGCUGAGGACUCUGACAAGACUGCCAUCGUAAGAUGUGAGGAAAGUGGGGAUGACGUCAAAUCAGCGCGGGCCCUUACUUUCGGGGGUACGCACGUGUUACCAUGCGGGGUACAGAGGGCCGCUACCACCCAAGUGGAUGCCAAAUCCCAAAAACAUCUUUAGUUCGGACUGGAGUCUGCAACCCGACUCCACGAAAACUGGAUUCCCUAGGAAUCGCGCAUUACCCCCGGCGCCGGGAAUACCUUCCCGGGCCUUGUACACAACGGCCCGUAAGCCAAUGGAGCCGGGGGGACCCUGAGGGCCCUAACCCCAAAGGAGGGCCCUGGGUUAAACUGGGGACUGGGGGCUAAUCGAAAAAGGAAGCCCCCAAGGCCAUUCCCGCCCGCCAAAUCAAUUCCCUUAUAGGGGCGGGUUUCAUAUCAGGGGGGGGGUUUAAAG
RNAcentral lists this ribosomal RNA (1562 nucleotides) under uncultured bacterium. Its description in RNAcentral is "partial 16S ribosomal RNA". It matches the Rfam family "Bacterial small subunit ribosomal RNA". The record is from RNAcentral.